Molecule: long non-coding RNA, 689 nt
Organism: Acromyrmex echinatior (Panamanian leafcutter ant)
Lineage: Eukaryota; Metazoa; Arthropoda; Insecta; Hymenoptera; Formicidae
Source: RefSeq, a predicted model, not a curated record
ACAAGGUUCGAUAUGAUCAGAGUGCAUACUUAUGAUACGUGCCACUCCAACGGAUCAGUCCCUUAGUUUCCACUGCGGCCACCGUAGAAAAAACAUGUGAUAUGUAAAAAAAUAUGGAAGGGAGCAGUAUUUAAAAAAAGAAUCUGGACAACAUUAUCAAUCUCUCAGACAGAUUCGACGGACAGCUAUCGCUAGUUCUCUGAGAAAAAAAUCUCAAGCUAUAAACUAUUACGUUCCGAUUCAACAAGAUGAAGCACGCUGGGGACAUGUAUCUUCUCAUUCGAAAUCUUGUUAAACCUCUUACACCUUGAAGGAGAUACUCAUUAACGCCUGUGGCUUAUAAAUAUUUAGACAUAGGAAUCAGCGUAGGACUUGUAUCCCAUGUGGAAAUUGCAUUUGGUGAUACUCGAGAUAACCGGAUAAUCUUAUCUCACGCGACAUAGAAGGCAUUCAUCGACAGACGCGAGGAUAUUGAGCAGCUUCAGCGGUCUGUAAUUACGCUAUCGUUCCUAACCAUUCAAGGUCUGAAUGUGUAAAUCGAUCGGAAUUUUGUAAACUGUAUGGUACAAAUAAAGUAAAAUUAUCAUGCAAUAAAUGUUUUUAUAUAAUGCCAUUAAUCUUGCUUUUCAUGCUUGAUCUCGAACAUUGUGUCAAGCAUGUAUAUUUAGGACUCUCUCAGAAUGUGAUAA